Molecule: ribosomal RNA, 460 nt
Filed under: uncultured bacterium
Lineage: Bacteria
Description: partial 16S ribosomal RNA
Rfam family: Bacterial small subunit ribosomal RNA
Source: RNAcentral
CCUACGGGAGGCUGCAGUGAGGAAUAUUGGUCAAUGGACGCAAGUCUGAACCAGCCAUGCCGCGUGCAGGAAGACGGCUCUAUGAGUUGUAAACUGCUUUUGUACGAGGGUAAACGCAGAUACGCGUAUCUGUCUGAAAGUAUCUUACGAAUAAGGAUCGGCUAACUCCGUGCCAGCAGCCGCGGUAAUACGGAGGAUUCAAGCGUUAUCCGGAUUUAUUGGGUUUAAAGGGUGCGUAGGCGGUCGGAUAAGUUAGUUGUGAAAUCCCGAGGCUCAACUUCGGAAUUGCCUCUGAUACUGGUCGGCUAGAGAAUAGUUGCGGUAGGCGGAAUGUAUGGUGUAGCGGUGAAAUGCUUAGAGAUCAUACAGAACACCGAUUGCGAAGGCAGCUUACCAAGCUACUUCUGACGUUGAGGCACGAAAGCGUGGGUAGCAAACAGGAUUAGAUACCCUGGUAGUC